AAGUGUUUUCUGCUGAUUCACAAAGUCCUCCAUUUUGCAUGUACCGGAGGCAGGUACAGAAGUUGCCGAUAGAUUUUCAGGAGCUGCUGAUGUUAAAAGUGAAUUGUCCAAAGCAGGAACCUUAUUCUCAGACCUUGGGGAUGAACUGGGACAUUCACAUUCCAGAUCUUUGUUAUUAUUUGAUACAUCCGUGUCAACUGUUUUUUGCUGAUUCAUAAAGCCCUCCAUUUUGCAUGUACCGGAAGCAGGUGCAGAAGUUGCCAUUACAUUUUCAGGAGCUGCUGAUGUUAAAGGUGAAUUAUCCAUAGCAGGAACCUUGUUCUCAGACCUUGGGGAUGAACUGGGACAUUCACAUUCCAGAUCUUUGUUAUUAUUUGAUGCAUCCACCUCAAGUGUUUUUUGCUGAUCCGCAAAGCCCUCCAUUUUGCACGUACCGGAAGCAGGUUCAGAAGUUGCUGUUAGAUUUUCGGGAGCUGCUGAUGUUAAAAGUGAAAUGUCCAUAGCAGGAACCUUGUUCUCAGACCUUGGGGAUGAACUGGGACAUUCACAUUCCAGAUCUUUGUUAUUAUUUGAUGCAUCCACCUCAAGUGUUUUUUGCUGAUUCACAAAACCCUCCAUUUUGCAUGUACCGGAAGCAGGUUCGGAAAUUG
Molecule: long non-coding RNA, 650 nt
Filed under: Setaria viridis
Lineage: Eukaryota; Viridiplantae; Streptophyta; Magnoliopsida; Poales; Poaceae
Description: long non-coding RNA (SVIR_LNC011488)
Source: RNAcentral